AUUGAACGCUGGCGGCAUGCCUUACACAUGCAAGUCGAACGGCAGCACGGGAGCAAUCCUGGUGGCGAGUGGCGAACGGGUGAGUAAUAUAUCGGAACGUGCCCAGUCGUGGGGGAUAACGUAGCGAAAGCUACGCUAAUACCGCAUACGAUCUAUGGAUGAAAGCGGGGGAUCUUCGGACCUCGCGCCAUUAGAUGAGCCUAGGUCGGAUUAGCUAGUUGGUGAGGUAAUGGCUCACCAAGGCGACGAUCCGUAACUGGUCUGAGAGGAUGAUCAGUCACACUGGAACUGAGACACGGUCCAGACUCCUACGGGAGGCAGCAGUGGGGAAUAUUGGACAAUGGGCGGCAAGCCUGAUCCAGCCAUGCCGCGUGCAGGAAGAAGCAUCUAUGGUGUGUAAACUGCUUUUGUACGGGAAGAAACACUCCUACGUGUAGGAGCUUGACGGUACCGUAA
Molecule: ribosomal RNA, 456 nt
Filed under: uncultured bacterium
Lineage: Bacteria
Description: bacterial SSU rRNA
Rfam family: Bacterial small subunit ribosomal RNA
Source: RNAcentral